Molecule: ribosomal RNA, 117 nt
Filed under: Cryobacterium sp. HLT2-28
Lineage: Bacteria; Bacillati; Actinomycetota; Actinomycetes; Micrococcales; Microbacteriaceae
Also listed under: 17 other names
Source: RNAcentral
UUCGGCGGCUAUAGCGAGAGGGAAACGCCCGGUCACAUUCCGAACCCGGAAGCUAAGACUCUCUGCGCCGAUGGUACUGCAGGGGGGACCCUGUGGGAGAGUAGGACACCGCCGGAC